The sequence is a transfer RNA, 97 nucleotides long. It matches the Rfam family "tRNA". Rfam says of the family: Transfer RNA (tRNA) molecules are approximately 80 nucleotides in length. Their secondary structure includes four short double-helical elements and three loops (D, anti-codon, and T loops). The record is from Rfam.
GCCCGCUUGGCUCAGUGGUAGGGCGUAUCACUAAUAGGCAAAGAAACUUUCCCAAUAGUACAUGACAAGAUCGUCAGUUCGAUUCUGGCAGUGGGCA